This 76-nucleotide transfer RNA is filed under the name Methanobrevibacter sp. Its description in RNAcentral is "tRNA-Asp". It matches the Rfam family "tRNA". From Rfam's summary of the family: Transfer RNA (tRNA) molecules are approximately 80 nucleotides in length. Their secondary structure includes four short double-helical elements and three loops (D, anti-codon, and T loops). The record is from RNAcentral. Lineage: Archaea; Methanobacteriati; Methanobacteriota; Methanobacteria; Methanobacteriales; Methanobacteriaceae.
GGGGCCGUAGCUCAAUUUUGGUUAGAGCACCGGACUGUCACUUCGGAGGUUGAGGGUUCAAGCCCCUUCGGUCCCG